RNAcentral lists this ribosomal RNA (455 nucleotides) under uncultured bacterium. Its description in RNAcentral is "bacterial SSU rRNA". It matches the Rfam family "Bacterial small subunit ribosomal RNA", at positions 331 to 803 of the family's 1533-position model. The record is from RNAcentral.
UAAGCUUCCUACGGGAGGCUGCAGUGGGGAAUCUUGCGCAAUGGGCGAAAGCCUGACGCAGCCAUGCCGCGUGAAUGAUGAAGGUCUUAGGAUUGUAAAAUUCUUUCACCGGGGACGAUAAUGACGGUACCCGGAGAAGAAGCCCCGGCUAACUUCGUGCCAGCAGCCGCGGUAAUACGAAGGGGGCUAGCGUUGCUCGGAAUUACUGGGCGUAAAGGGAGCGUAGGCGGACAUUUAAGUCAGGGGUGAAAUCCCGGGGCUCAACCUCGGAAUUGCCUUUGAUACUGGGUGUCUUGAGUAUGAGAGAGGUGUGUGGAACUCCGAGUGUAGAGGUGAAAUUCGUAGAUAUUCGGAAGAACACCAGUGGCGAAGGCGACACACUGGCUCAUUACUGACGCUGAGGCUCGAAAGCGUGGGGAGCAAACAGGAUUAGAUACCCUUGUAGUCGAAUUCUU